AGAUAUAUAACAAGUGUUACAUAUAAUCCAAGAAUACUUGCAUUAGUUGUUAAUUAUCAACUACUUGAAAAAAAAAUGGUGUCCAAAUUAUUUUUGCUGGUUUUAUUAAUCGCACUACUGGCUAUUGGUGCAGACGCAUGCGCUGGUUUACGUGCCGAAUGCGGCCCAGCUGCAGGAAGAGACUGCUGUGGUGGCUAUGUCUGCAACAGCGGCAUUUGUCAUUUCGAUGAAUGAUUACAAACAAAAAAAUAUAAAAAUGUUUUUUUUUUUGGAAAAAUAAAAAUCAAACUUCCGAUUAAUAA
Molecule: long non-coding RNA, 302 nt
Organism: Microplitis mediator
Lineage: Eukaryota; Metazoa; Arthropoda; Insecta; Hymenoptera; Braconidae
Exons: 3
Source: RefSeq, a predicted model, not a curated record